AUUGAACGCUGGCGGCAUGCCUUACACAUGCAAGUCGAACGGCAGCAUGAUCUAGCUUGCUCGAUUGAUGGCGAGUGGCGAACGGGUGAGUAAUACAUCGGAACGUGCCCUGUAGUGGGGGAUAACUAGUCGAAAGAUUAGCUAAUACCGCAUACGACCUGAGGGUGAAAGUGGGGGACCGCAAGGCCUCAUGCUAUAGGAGCGGCCGAUGUCUGAUUAGCUAGUUGGUGGGGUAAAGGCCCACCAAGGCGACGAUCAGUAGCUGGUCUGAGAGGACGAUCAGCCACACUGGGACUGAGACACGGCCCAGACUCCUACGGGAGGCAGCAGUGGGGAAUUUUGGACAAUGAGGGCAACCCUGAUCCAGCAAUGCCGCGUGUGUGAAGAAGGCCUUCGGGUUGUAAAGCACUUUUGUCCGGAAAGAAAUCGCACUUACUAAUAUUAGGUGUGGAUGACGGUACCGGAAGAAUAAGGACCGGCUAACUACGUG
Molecule: ribosomal RNA, 490 nt
Filed under: uncultured bacterium
Lineage: Bacteria
Description: partial 16S ribosomal RNA
Rfam family: Bacterial small subunit ribosomal RNA
Source: RNAcentral